UGAGGGAUGGUUCAGUUGGUAGAGCAUGAGACUCUUAAUCUCAGUUUGUGAGUUCAGGCCCCACGAAAGAUUUCUGCAU
This is a non-coding RNA of Podarcis lilfordi (Lilford's wall lizard), 79 nucleotides long. Lineage: Eukaryota; Metazoa; Chordata; Lepidosauria; Squamata; Lacertidae. The record is from the annotation of a GenBank genome assembly.